RNA transcript from Hydractinia symbiolongicarpus, 19401 nucleotides. It is a transcript of the gene named coiled-coil domain-containing protein 180-like, with no coding region annotated. The record is from RefSeq and is a predicted model, not a curated record. The transcript is spliced from 40 exons. NCBI's taxonomy places the organism in Eukaryota, Metazoa, Cnidaria, Hydrozoa, Anthoathecata, Hydractiniidae.
ACAACUUUUAAUUUUUUAUAUAGUAAUAUAAAUGACUGCAACAAAUAACAAAAAUGUCAAUGCAAAUGCUCUGGCUAAUAAAGCACAGAUUCCAAUUGUACAUAAAUCCAGCGCUGUUGAUGGUAUAUUAACAAAAAGACAAAAAGGAUGGGUGGAGGGAGCAAGUAACGACAUAUACACAGAGAACCCUGUUAUUUAUAGACACUGUAGACAUCAGAAGGAAAAAGAACAGGAUGUGUUUGCUAGUAAAAAACAAAGAAAAAACAUAAAUGGGUUAUUAUCGGAAAAUUUAGAUGAGCAAAGAAGUUAUGGUGGUAUUAUUGAAAAAAUACAAGAGAUUCGAAAAGACAGACAUGAAUCUACUAUAGAAGAUAUGAUGCAAGAACUAGCAACAAUUAGCCUGGAUUUGGAGUCUCAGGUACAAGAUUUAAGCAAUACUGCAAAGGAAUAUCUUGAUAAAGAUAGCAAAGAAAUUCAACAGGUAUUGGCUGGCAUCAUGAAUGAUACACAAUUGGUUCAAUAUUCUAUGAAAGACAUCAGGAAAAUUUGGAUAUCAGUAGAAAAGCAUUCAGCAAAACAAGAAGGCUGGAUAAAUGAGCUAGCGCAAGCAUUUAAUAAGAUUGAAGAAAAUAGAUCUGUUUUUAUAAAUGAUGUUAUCAUGUCUUAUACCAUGACUUUGGAAAGAAUUGCUCACUUAAUGCCACCAGAUGUACAUAGAUUGAUGGAAGAUGAAGCAGCUAAAAUCAACUAUUCCAUGAUAUCAAACAAAUCUUCAUAUGCAGAUUUGAUCAAAAGAUUGUUAACAGCUGAUGUAGAGCGUGAAAGAAAAUUGUUUACUCAAUGGAAAAAUAGAGUUGCAGAUUGGAAAACUUUAAAGCUAGAAGAAGCCUUAAGAAAGCAUAGAGAGUAUAUGAGAAGUGGACCUGUUGUGAACUCACCAGCCAUCAAAAGAAUUCUGGAUGAUUUAAUACAAAAACAAAUAACUUUAAAUGGAAGGAGAUUGGACCUGCUGAACCAACUAAUGGAGAUGAAGCCACCCUCAUCCACUAAAGCAUCAGUGUUUCAAUGGAAUCAAGCUAUUACUGAAUCAACUGAGGAGCUAGAGCAAGUCCACACACAGUCUAUAUCUCUUGUCAAGUUAGAGCAUGAAAGAGUACUUAGUGAGUGUGACGAGUAUAUGAAGAAUUCCUUGGAUGAUUUAUUUCAUGCUGAAGUAGUUGAAGAAAAUGUGUUAGAAGAGAUGUCACACGAAAGUUUUUUGCCCCUUAUUGGUGAAAGAAAAGCAACAUUUGAUUAUGACAUGGAGAGGCUUCAGACACAUCUAAGUGAAGUGAGUGCUCAUCAAAAACAAAACUUAAAAGCAUUAUAUAAGUUUAUUCAAGGUGCUGCUCAUAUAUGGGAUAAUCAUGAACUUGGAUUGGUGAAAGAAGAGAGGAAAUUGCAGGAAAUGCUAGAUAAAAACAGAAAAGAACAUGAUUAUCAAAAUCAGAUCAAAGAAGCGAAAUUAGAUAUUGUAAUGGACCGAAUGAGACAGGAAUCAACAGAAGAUGCUUUGGCAAGUAGCUUGAAACAGGCACUGGCAAUGCUGAGUGACAUAAUGAAAGGAUAUUUCGAGUUUCAUUCUCUGCAGAAACAAACAUGUGAAAAGUACCCUCAUAUGAUUUAUGAUGAAGUGCAACGAUAUGGAAUAUCUGUGUGUGGUUACUUUAAUGUGUCUAAAAGACAAAAGCAAAAGGAUGUUAAAACCAUUGUCAAAACAGAGGCAAUUACAUUGUCAAAUGGAUCUUUAUAUCAUCUUUUGCGCAAAGAUUUUAAUCCACCUAAUACAGCUGAAAGUGAUGAAACAACUCAUACAUUAUUGACAACAUUAGACGAUGAUGAUGCCACUGCUACUGGAAGUAAUACCAUAGUAAUACCAUACGUUGAAAGUUUUUUCAUUCCAGAAGACCUUUUUAAAAAGUUAAAAUACAAUAUGUGUCGGGAGUUUUUGGAACACUUAGAGAAGUGGAAGGAAGAAGCAGUCACACGAGCAGAAGCUGUAGUCGUCAUCAAGAUGGAAGAAAUAGACAAUGAAUUGGAUCUUAGACUCUAUCUGCAUGAGCCGCGCUCAAAGAGAGCUGAAAAUGAUGUACAUGACGUCAGAGCUGAGGAACUUGUGUUACAUAGAGACAGAGUUGAACAGCAUUGUUUGGGUAUAUCUGAAACGCUUUCAUCUUUAAAGAUUGGCUACCAAGAUAUGUUGCGUGAUCAUGUACACGAGAAUGAAACAUUCAAACGCUCAGUUGAAGAACUGGUAGUAACUUUUAAUAAUGCAACAAAUACGAAUGAGUUAAAAGCUAUGCAAGACCAAGUAAAUGGGAAGUUAGACCAGUAUGUGGAGAUCAUCCGUGCGUCAGUGCGUCAUUUUCAUUUUAACUUAGAUGAUACGCUAAACAAAUUGAGAAACUCAAAUGCACAAUUCAGAAAAGCUUUGAAAAUAUUUUCUGAAGGAGGAAACUUCUCACCUGAAGAAGUAGAGGAAUUUCGAAAGCGCUUAGAAAAGAUGGCGACAAAAAUUAAUAACUGUGAAGGUUCAUUAAUAGGACAGUUAGAGGGAAUGGAAACCAAGCGUUUGGACAUUGCAAAAGAGUUUGCUAGAAAACUGGAAGAUAGGUUUAAACACCAUUUAUUUGAUUUAACUUUUGUUGAGAAAAUUAAAAGGUGGUUAACGAAUAUCCAAGUAAAAAUUAAAGGAGAGGUAGCAAACAGUAACUCUCAGAGUCAGCAUUUAAGUAAGAUGAUAUCUGUCUUCAGUAGAAGAUUAGAACGUAUAAAGAAUCCUUCCGUAGAUGGUGAGAAAUUUACUGUAGAAGAGCUUCACGAGACUUUACAACCUGUAAUCGGCACGUUUAUUAGCCGUACUGUAUAUCUGGAUUGUGCUUUUAAAGUUCAGAGAGCACCAAGUACGCCUGUCAUACUAGAAGGUAGCAGUAAGCAGGAUAUUGAGAAGUGCAAUUUGAAGGGGAAAGGCAGGAAGUCAGUGAAAAAGCAAGCUUCACGACUAAAACGCCUUUCAAGUGGGAAGUCUACACAUAAUUCUAAUGAGAAAACAACUGCAUCCUUGGUUGGUAAAAAAGAUUCGGCUGAAGAAGAAGGAUUGAAUGUCUUAUCUGAUGUUCCGACUUUAUUAAUUGUAAACUUUUGUGCGUAUGGCUUAUAUUUAAUACACCAAAAGAGCUACUUUGUUGAUUUCAAUUUUAUACUCUUCGCUGUGUCUGUGAAACUUUAAGGGGAACAUUUGGUGGAAGACAAUGGCAUGACAUAUACUGAUAGAACUGAUUUUUGUUGUGUUAGAUGUUAUAUCUGAACCUUUUUGACAUUUUAUGUUAAUUUUGCGAGGAAGGACCAUAUAUAUAUACACAGAAGAAGAAUUCAAUUUUACACCUUGCAAGCUUUGUUUUUCUAUAUUUUGUAUAAAUUCUUACUGGGGAGGACUCCGUGCAAUAUAUCGAAAUGACUGAUCCUUCUCGAUUUAAAUUUGAUGUGUUCUAAAUCGUAUAUAGUUUUGGAAAUUUUGUGUAAGAUUUAAUGGGUAAGGGCUAGAUGCAAUAUGUCAAAAAAACUUUUUUUGUUGAAUCAGAAGCACUCCCUACAACCAUUCUUUUUUUUACAGUUUGUGAAGCUUUUGUGAGGAAAGAGUGUAUGCAAUAUUAUCUAAAUAACUGAUUUUUGUUGCAAACUGUCUUUCUUAGGCAUUUUGGAUUAAAAUAUUGUUUUAGAGGGCAUAUGCAGUAGAUAUAUGUACCGAAAUAAUUAAAUUUUGCAAACUUUGAUUUUGUCGUUACCUCUCAUUUUUUACAUUUUGAUUAAACUUUUGUGGGAGACCGUCGGUAUGCGAAGGACCAAAAUAAGAGAUUUUAGUAUUAUUUAGAAUUUGUAUUUUGUGUUGCAAAAUUGGUGCAAAAAUUGACAUAAAAUGAACUUAUAUACAGAUUGAUUGCUGUUGUUUAAUGACUCAUUAUGACUUAUAUAUAUAUUUUAUGAAAAUUUGUGACAAAAUACUAUGUGAGAUUUGAAAUUUUGUUUACUUUAUUGAUGGUAAAACAGCAUGCGAAUUGCUAAAAGGACUUUAUUAAUUAUAGGUUUAAACACCGUUUUUUUGUUGGCAUUUUGUCUAAAGUUUGGUGAGGAAGGAUCGUAUGCAAUAUAUCAAAUAAUGUUUUAUUGCAUUAUAAUUUAUCCUUGCAAAUCCCUUUUUAACACCUUAUAUAAAAAUUUCUACUUAGGCAAAAUUUAUUGUUUAUUUUUCACAUUGUGUGUCAACCUUUGGCAGGGUUUGCAAUAAACUAACUGAUUUUAACAUAUACAAUGAGAGAGAUUUGUGUUUGACAUUGAUCAGCUUUUUUGUAUAUAUGUGGCGUUUUAAGUGAUUUAAAUUUUAUGGGUGAGAUGUAUGUUGAAAUGCUUUUGGAAACUUCUUUCCGAAUAAUUUUCGCAUUUGUCAGAUGGUCAGAGCAAGUAAUUUUAGUAGAUUUAGAUUUUAAAUGUCACAUAAAUACUGCAGUUGUUGAAAACCUUUAAUUUUUUUGGUCAUUUAUAUAAUAAUGCAGAUGUAAGAUGCGCACUGCUGUAUUGUUUGUUUUUUGAUGGACAUAUAUCUGUUACAUAAAUUAAAUGGAAUACAGUGGAUUCUUCCACGGGAAACAGCUAGUUUUUAUUAUUUUCGAAAUUAGCAUUGCAAAUAUUUGAGUUAAUGGAGCAUUAUUGUCACAUUUAAAGCUCUUUUGUAUGUAAUUUCCCUGUAAAUUUAUCAUACAAUUCACUUCAGAUAUAGAAUUUCAGAUACGCAAUAGCCAUUCUAGAUUACUAGCUGGAGAAAACCGCCGUCGAAACGCUGGGCUAAUCUAUCAGUGGCGAAGCGUUGAAUGCCAGGUUGAGCAGGUAGAUCUUGUUGCACAACGGGUUGUGAAAUUUUGGUGCAGGUAUACGAUGUGUCACAAUUUCAGUAGAGCGCUUCAGCGUUAAAGCCUUCCCGACAAUGAAUGUCAGAUUGAGGGAUUAGUGCAGGUACACUAUUUCACACUAUCAGGCGAAGUGCUUUAUGAUUACGCGCUAAAUUUCUUUGAUAUUGAACAAUCGAAUUAGAUGCAAACAUGCUAUAAAUAUAUCCAAAUCUAUGUAAAUAAUUAAACUUAAAAGCGGUUGUUCUUAAUGACUCUUUAAUGACUAUAUGCAACCAAAAGAAAAUCUUCGUUUAAAAAUAAUUAUGUGAGAAGAAAAUUAUGAAACAAACUUAUCGAAAAGUUCUCGUUUUAUGAAAAAACAAUAACUUUACUUAACCAAUUAUUAACCAAUCGGAAAAAUAUAAGAUUUUUGCACGCUUUUUCAGGCAACCAGAGUGAAAAUAUCAGCUUUUUGCACUAGAAUUGAAAAAAAGAAUUGCACUAGUUUUUCAGUAGAAAAUACAAAUAUAGCAUAUAUGCCAGAACUAAUACCAAUUUGUGAUGACUAAUUAUACUGGAAAGAGCCAAAAAUAUGCUUAUUAUAAAUGUCAUAACGCCGGGUUAUGCUACAAGUAACUGUUACCUGGUGUUAAACGCCACGUUGAGCGCUUAGUAAAGCAUUUAAUCAAGCUGCAAACUGUGCCAUACAUCCGGGUGGAGCGCUUUUGUACAAGUAUGCAGUAACGUCGUCUAUCGCAGGUGUAUAAAUAUAACUUUCCCGCAACUUUACCUGAAUUGAAAACACAGUUUACACACCGUUGUUAUCCCGUCAUAGCAAAAACAAUCGGUCAUUAUUACCCGGGUAAAAGGGCGGCAUCAAUAUUUCUGAAUAUUGCGCAAUGUGAUUGGUUAGAACUUACGUCAUGGUGGGCAUUAUUACCCGGAUAAAAGGGCGGCAUCAAUAUUUCUAAAUAUUACGCAAUGUGAUUGGUUAGAAUUUACGUCAUAGCGGGCAAUAUUCCACGGUAUUGUCCGCUACCAUAGCAACCGUGUUUAAAGUUUAAAUAUGGUAGCAUUAAAUGUAAAUAAAUACGGAAAAAAGUAAACAAAACGCGAAAAAUAGUAAAACUUACUUUUAUGUUUUCAAGAAUUCUAUGUUGCAGCUACAAUAAAAACCUGUGAUAUUUACAAGAUAUUCGAUUUAAAAAAAACAUAUUAGUUAGUUCGAAUGUAUGUUCCAUAUGGGAAUAGUUUCUAUAAAGCCAUGGUUUCUACGUCCUGCUUAUAAUGUUAUAUUUUUGGUCGUAAAAUGCAGUACCCGGAUAAUAAUCCAUAUAAUAACUGUUUAUUUCGGGCAAUACCUUCGAAUAUUGACGUCGGUCAAUAUUCUCCGGUAUUGCCCUCAUAAACAGUUAUUAUAGGGUUAAUAUUAUUUUAUUUUACAAAAUAAGUUUCCGUGAAAGUUUAAAAAAAUCAUUGUGACACCGGGCUGAGGAGUUAGUACAGGUAUAUAGGCGUAAUACCCUUAUGAAAAAAAAUUAUGGCAAAUUUAAUUUAAUUUAAAUAAAACAGGAGCUGUCUGUUUUUAAUACUGGUCUAAGCACUUAGUACAGGUAAACUGUGUCGCAGAUGCAUAUAGGUGUAAUACCCUUUUAUAAAAACUUUAUCGCAACUUCGGUUUAAAUAAAAACACAGGGAACAGCCUGUUGUUACCCCGUCCAGCUAAAACAAUCGCUCAGCCAUUUUUUUUUUCGUAGAAAAAGUAGUAGUAGCAUUUAGCAUAAGAAUUAUUGCUUAAGAUUAUUGUUGUAGCCAAACUGCAUUUGGCUACUUCCACUUUUUAGUAAGAUAUAGCUAAAGAGCUAGCUAGAUGGUCACAACCACAACGUUAAAAUAAAUAAUUUUGGCUAAAAAGCUCCUAUAUUAAACUAAAUAACACCCUUAAAAGAAUAAAAAUAAAUAAGGCUAGCUAACUGGUUAUAAGAUGUCGUUCAUAGCCAAAAUCAUAAAAUUGGUGGUUUCAGAUUUCUACGUGGCUAAAAAAUAUAUUUACCUUAACAUGUGAAAACAUACAGAAAACAAAUAUUAUAAAAUAAAAAGAUUUUCAAAAUAAAAUAGUAAAACAGAAACCUACAUACCUAGCACUGAACACACCACUUUCAAAAUCAAAAUGGCCGUCGGCAAUUUUUGGCUGCAAAAAUCCGGCGUCGAAUUGCGGGUUAAGCUAUUGGUGACGAUGAAUAGAAAUUCGACGUGUAAGAAAUGCAUUAAUCACAAAUGGAUACAGUCAUAAAGUCAUCACGCAAGUAGAAAAUAAAAUGAAGAGAAGAUGCAACGGAGACAACAAGGAAACAUCAGAGGAAUUUAUCGCAUCAGCAUUCCUACCCUUCGUACCAGGUACCAGCGAGAUCCUUCGUCGAGUUUUAAGGCAACACAAGAUCAAAUGCAUUCUUACCUCUAAAGACACCCUAAGAAGCACUUUGUCUAAACCAAAAGACAAAAUAAACCUGGAAGAGCAAAACAAUGUUGUUUACGAAAUCCCGUGUAAAGAUUGUGAUGCAGUGUAUAUAGGCGAAACAAAAAGAAAGUUUAAGCAACGAGUACAAGAACAUAUGCGCGCAGUGAGAAACGGAGAUGUGAGCAAAAACGAAAUUGCGGACCACAGCUGGAGCAGAAGUCAUCAGUUUAAUUGGGAUGAGAGGAAAAUCAUUGACAGAGAAUCCAGAACAACGGCUAGGAAGAUUAAAGAAACCAUCAACAGUGUAGAACGUAACAAACACAUAAACAGCAUCUCGUAUCAACUUCCUGAGAUUUGGUUACCAGCUCUACAGAAGAAGUAGUUACCUACAUCCAGGUCCGAAAAUGUUAAUUACCGUAAUUAACUGUAAUUAUCAGCUCGUUUCUGAUUGGUUAAUUUUUAUGAAUUUCGAUCCUCUGCAAUUAUAUAAAUACAUGCGCAACAUCAUUUUACUUUGCCCGAUGAUGGGAGAAGGAUCUCCCGAAACGUCGCCUACUAAACUAUCAUGUUCAAGAAAUGAUAAACUUUUCACAGUAAUUAAAAAUAUUGAUACUAACUAUGCUAAGACUACAAACUCUAUAACUUUAUCUGCAAAAUAUUGAUGAUAGUGGCAUAUUAUUGACUAAAAUGAGUACUGAGAAAAUUGACUUUAAAGCAAAACUAAAAAAAAAAUAGGCAAACUUUGAUAGAAGCUGAAAUUUAAAUCAUACUACAUGUCAAAACUGGAAAAAUUAUAGAACUAUUAAAGAAUAAAAGAAAUAAAAUAGAAACGCGAGUAAUAUCGACCACUGACACACAGGGUAGUGAAAUAUUUAAAAAUCAAAGGAUUUUAAGUGUAUAUCAAAGUGGUUACCAAUUAACGGUAUUCUACCUUAUUAGAGCACGUUCCCUGUUGUAUCAGGAUCGAUUUUGCCCCUUCUUCAGGCCGCAUCCGUCAGUGGAAUCCCUUGCGGUCCCUGCCCCCCAAGGCGACGCCAAACAAGGUAUGACGCCCUGGACCUGGGCCCUGGGUUGCUUUUACGGUACCGCAGGUACGCUUUGUAAGAUAGAUCCUAAAAUACGGAAAAAUAUAGUAUAUAAAACUCAACUCAAAUAUAUCAAUAUAAGACUCAAUUUUUUCUGCAACAAUGUGAUGAGAAUAUAAGAGAGAUUUGGAAUUUAUAGAGGAUGGUAAAAAAAGUGGGCCGUACAUAACUGCUGUUGUAAGUGAUGUUGUUGCUGACGUUGUUGCUGUAUUGACCGCUGAUAUUGUGGCAGCUGUUGUUGUUUUUGUUGCAAACGUUAUUCAUGCUGAAGCAGCAGUGUUUUCAUAACGUGACGAUUUUAAGUUGCCUAAAAAUAAAUUAUUAUUUAAAUAAAGUUGCAUGAAUAGAAGAUAUAAUUUGCAGAACUGAUUAUACAUGUACAGUUACAUAUAUAAAUUUCCUUAAGUAAAGGAAGAUGAUACAUAAUUCUUGCAAAAAGAAAACCCUUGCUUUUAGUUUGCAACUUUAACUGGACUUUAAGAAAGUGUAUUUAGUAGAAUAUAGUUUUUUUAAACUAGUAAGGGCUACAAAGUUUUUAUUUUAUUCACCUUAAAAUUAAAAUUCUGUUUAUAUAAUUGUGAGUUCGAAAAAUUUGUUUAUUUAUAAAUCCAGCUAAAAUUGACGAACGGGGUGCACCGCGAGAAGGUAAGCCAUUGGAUUUCGCACCCCACCUAUAAGAGAAGAAAAACAUACAUUUGCAAAAUAAAAUGAACUCUCAAAGGCAGUGAAAGAUAAUAUUUUAAAGUGUAGGAGAUAGAAGUAGAGGUUCCUUUAAUAUGGUAUACAAUUUAAUUCAGCAACACCGCAUCAACUUGACCUUUGUCUGCCACAAAGAUCAAGUAGACACGGCACUUGUUCAGGCGUAAACACACUUUAAUCAUUAAAGUUGAGGAACUAUAUCCGAUUAAAGCUUGAGACAGAACAUGAUAACACUGUCAAUACACCCAUAAAGGCGCAAGAACACCCGAAACCCAUUAACCAUGUAACAUGGUGAUAUAAUGGUCACGUAGACAAUACAUAAUUUUAAUAAGCACCAAAUGGAAGUUUCUUAAAAAAAAUAUGUUAUUGCGGGUUAGUGUUACAUAUGACAAGUGACAUUAAUCAAUACUGAAAGCUUUGGUGUUGCAUAAAAGCGAAACAUGAAAAAUUAUGGCUUCAAAGUAUUAACAAGUUGUACCUAACUGCUUAAAAUGACCGGGCAUGUGAAAAUGCAACAUAAAGUUGGCCAUGACUAAAGCAAGGUCUACGUUAGAAUAUACCAACUUUCUCAAAAGUUUGGCCUUGACUCUUAUUUAUAGUCAAUGCGCAAGACAAUCUUAAGGAAACUGAGUGCGUUUAAUUUGAAAGCGUAGAUUUGUAUCAUUCGGACAGACGGACACUCGGAAUUAACACACGAUUACCUCUACGAAUACCAGUAAAAUAUUCACAAUCGAUAACAUUUCCACGCUAACUACGAAGACCGUCUUUAAGGGACGAUUUCUCAAAACAUUACAACACAUCCUACUUCAAAAUUUAAUUGAUGUGGUGGCAUACCACUUGGAGUUAAGAAAUUAAUAAACUCCAUUGGAUAUAAAUUAUUUUCUUCUUAAUCAUCCAAACAACAAAGUCGAUACUGUAAUAUGUACGAGUAUCGUCAGAAAUCUGAUUAAAAAUAUGUUCAUUUAUUUCUAAGGCUUCUUCGUUUGUUGAAGUUAAGACGACAAAACGCGAAGAUUCCACAUUAUGAAAUUCACUAAAGAUAGAAGUAACGAUAUUUUCAUUAGGUUGCAGAACACAUUCAUGAGGAAUUUUAAUACAACCUUGAUUUGAAUCAUCUGGUUUUGGGGGGAACCGACCACUAUCAAGGUUUAGAAAAAACUCAGCAAAGACUUGCUCUCCUUCUCCAGCUCUCAUGUUUGUGUGAAGGUGGAAAAUUCGAGUCAAGGGCCAGAGUUCCGAGCUUUUUAAACAAACUUCUACAAUUUGUGCAGGUUCAGCACUUCUGACGACAGGGAGUACUUGACGGAAAUCUCCUCUCAAAAGAAUAACUUUACCAGCAAAGGGAAUUUCAAUAUUACAUGUAUCCCUAAACAUUCUGUCAAUUUAUCAAAUAUAAUGAUGUCCUGUCUUCUUAAAAAUGCUGAAUGGUCACUAUUGGAUUUGAUGUUACAUGUACAUCCGUCUAAUACGGGGACUGGUAAUUUGAAAAGAGAGUGGACAGUCUUACUAUUCUGCAAUAAUGUACCAUCAAUACCUGUCCAGACACAAGUAGCAACACACAGAUUUCUUGCAACAACUUCCUUAUUAACGUAAUUAUAUGUAAACCUUUUACCUGUGCCACCUGGCCCCGGAAGAAAAUAUUAAUUAAUGUUAUUAUGGGUGACGGCAUUCAGAAUAGAAACAGCUACAUGACGAUACUGAGCAUUUAACAAGGCUGGAUAUUUAGAGCCUCUUGCCUUGUUUCUUCGGCAUUUGGCAAAUUAUUAAGCAAAGCGUCCUGUAAAGCAGGAAGACCAAAAUCAGUAAGAUGCUUACCAAAUUGCUGAAUAACACCUUUAGUUGUACUUAGCAUUAUUUGUUCUGCCUGCACUUAAGGGUGGUGACGUAAGUAAUUCUCCAUCAUUGCAGCCUGAAAGGUUUCCCACAAUUCAUGUGGGUUACGUGGCUCAUUAUGAAUGAAUAUGAAAGGAAAAGCUUUUCUUAUUUUAGACGGAGAAGCGUAUUUCAUAAACUCAUACAUAGUGCGAAUCCAAAGGUUGUCAUCAGCUAACAAUCCUCCUGCUAAGCAUGCAUUCCUUAAAGAAGCAUAAAGAUUUUCUUCCAAAAUUCUUAAGUCGUCAAAAGAAGUAGCACCAGGGACAUGCAAUAAAAGGACGCGCAAAAAAUACCUUUCACCUUCGCGGAUGCUGGCAUUAUACAUUUUACUUACUAUCUUUUCAGCACCGCGUUACCUAACUACCCACCGUUUUUGUUGUUGUGUAUUCCGAAAAACAAAGUGGUAAGGUAUUUCAGUGUACAAAAAUCGUUGCGCAUGCAGGUCCUGCUGAUUUAAUUAAAACCAAGAUGUUAACAUCGUCUUAGAAUUUUCAGCCCUGUCAACAGCAACAGCCUCGUCGCCUUCCCUAAAAAACAUUUGUUAGUGAUUUGGAAGGUGAACAGGAAGUCUUAUGAUGGAAUGACUCUGAGUAUGCAUAGGAAAUUCACAGAAACGCCAAGUUGCUUCAGGUGCAGAUACAUAUGUAGCAUCUAAGAAUAUUGUUACUUCAUCAUGAUUGAUGCGCAAAUUGAUUUCUAUGUGUGUAGUAUCAUAACCUUUGUAAAUGUAUUUAUACAAAUACUUAACACACACGCUUUCAAGUUGAUAUAUUUUACAUAGAAAGGGGUUAUAAGGUACACCCACCUAUUAUCAACAUCCAAGUUUCAAAUUCUUACCGUUCUUGCUUGGAUAUUCGUCUACAUUUAUAACGGUUCCAUCAUCAUCUUUUUUUAAAUCAAGCAAUUUAAACACCCAUGCAACCAAAUCUGGUCUAUCAGAAGCAGAUUGACUAGGUAACAAAUUAGUAACAAUUUCUGGCCAUUCUGGAUUGCAAGUGAAAGUCAAGAACAAAUCCGGCUUACCUUUCUUUGAAACCAAUUCCAUUGCAUCAAGGUACAACUGGUGUAUGUUAUGGGCCUUGGUAGGACUCUGCUUGAAGCUGUUGAUUUCAGCGAAUAAAUGCAUGUCGUUGGCCUUCAACUUUAACAUAUGCAUCUACUAAAAAUUGCUGAAACAAUUUACCCACUAGAUAAAGGGCAGAAAACUCUCGCCUAUCAGCAAUGCGGUAAAUAUAAUAUGCUAACUGGGUAAGCCUAUUUUUAACUGCAGUAGCAUGCUUUCUGGCAUGGGCUAUGUUUUGGUCCCAACCAGGCUCACCACGUGGAAAUAAAAUGGAAUACAUCAUAUGGUCACUAUUGCAUGAUGUAUGAGGGAUUUGCCACAAAGGUUGAUUACGUGGAUAAACAACAAUAUCUCUUGAAGCAGGAGGUGCCCCAUAAUUACAAACAAAGAUGGCAACAACCUUCUGAUGCAAGGGGUCAUUAUACCUUCUGUGAUCAUUAUCGUCGCGCAUUACCAUACUUACAACAGAAGGCUGUCUGUUUUUCGCUGCUGCUCUAGCUGUUUUUUCUCUUUCCACUUCAGCCAUAUUGAGAAUCCCUGUUUAGAACAUCUUGAAUUAUCUGCAUUGUUUCACGAUUACAAUGAGCAUGUGUUGGAUUCUCAAUACGCAUGUUUAAGGCAGCUGCAAUGUACAACUGACUAUAAUUAGAUAUUUCAUUCUGAGCAGGUAAUCACCAUACCUGUGAAAUAAUUGACUACAUAUUCUAAAACAGGGCGGUACAUGACCUGGCGGUAGUCGAAUGUUUGCUGACAAAGAAGCAAAACCAAAUGCAUUAUUGUAUACUCUGAUAUAUUUACGAAACUGUUUAGCCUGGGCAGAGUCGUUGCUUAACAAUUCACGUAUUUCAGGAAAUUGUAUUAAAGCAGGCAGGACCACUUUGCCAUUAUGACAAAGCAGGGCCACUUUGCCAUUAUGACAAAGCAGGGCCACUUUGCCAUUAUGACAACACUUAAAAUGAUUUUAAUUUUAAAUUUAUUAGCUCCACAAUGCUCACACACGAUAUUAAAAUCACCUCCAGAAUGCGUAGGAGGUAAGACAUUGUAAUCAUUAAGUCUAGCUAAAUUUAAAAAUCGUGGACGCCUAGCUUAAUGAAGCAAAACUUCUGCCUUCUGUCGUGCAUUCCCCUGUUCAAUAUUUACUGUUGCCUUCACAGAAGUAGAAAUCAGCAAAAAAAGCAAUGAUAUAAAUGAAAAACUUUCCUUUGUCAUUGAUCAUUCACUUGCUUUUACCUUUGCCUUGUCUCCUUGUUCGUUUGUGCCAUCGGACUAUAAAGGUGCUUACAAUUACCAGGAAACCAUGAGGCUUACCUAUUGGUUAAUAUUCACAUUUGUGCUUGCUGAUUGGUUGAAAUAAUCUAAUCUAAAACUGGUCAAAAAUAAUAGGUGUUUUUGAGAAAUUAAUCCGAAAACAAAGGUGGUAAAAAUUUUUAACAAAAUACGGAUAUUAUUAUAAAGAUAGUAAACAGGAAGACAAAAGCGUAUUAUAAGGGGAGUGUGACAGUAAUAACUAUCUAUUACUAAAAAACAGCAGUUUGCAACAUAAGCAAAAAUACGAACAACCCAUACCAUCCUCUCAUAAAUUAAAAAGUCAUAAACCCACGUAAAUUGCCAAUCAAAUGUCUACAACCCCCUGUGAAAAUAACCUGGCAUUUUACAUUGUAGGCUGACAAAAGUUUAACAGGAUGUCAGAAGCACAACAAUAAAAAUAACUUAACAUCCACGCUUUAAAUUAUGAAAAAAUUUAUUCCACUUGUCAUAUUGCCCGUGGUCCCCUUGUAAAGUUUACAGGAAAUGCUCGAUUCAUAAAAGAAGAAAAGUUUGGAAACUAAGGUAGCUAGCUAUAGAUAAUUAAAAAAGAGGAAUAACAACAGUAGUCAUAGGUUAGAGCCAUGGGGGAUGAGAAGAGUAGGAUCUGGAGGCUAACAUUAGCUAGGUAACAGUAGCUAAGACACCCCCAGUUAAAUAUACUUAAACUGGAAAUAUUUAGCUAAAACUAAAGCUAGCUAUUUAUGCUUAGUAGAACACAUAUAAAGAGAAACAAUAGUAAUGUAGAAAUAAUAACAUUUCAGUGAGUUCAACAAACAAAAGUUUUCCGUUUGUUAGUCAGCUAACAGCUUUAUGUAGCAUUUUGAAUUUUAGGACAAAUACAUUAGUUACGCGCCAGGGCAUACAUUAAUUAUGCAACAAAAUGUCAACAAAUAUGACUACUAUCAGAAUUUGAGGCUUUUAGGUGGUUUUGCUGAGAAAAGGGAGCCUACUUGCUCCAGCGACAUAAAAACCAAACGUCUAAAAAUAUCAAGUUCUUACUAUUUGUGAUUUCAAAUCCUCUUUAAACUCUAGCCUUUAUUUUCUACUUCUAACUUUACUUUACUUCUAGCUCCACUUCUCACUUCCAACUUAACAUUUCUACUUCUUCACUUGAACUUUUUUCUUUUUAAAUGUACUUUUUAAAACACUCUUUUCACUUUUUUCAAGAUAAAGGGAUCAUUCUUUGUUUCUUUUUUUUUGUUGGCAAGAGGACACCAUUUUUCAAAAGUUAGCCGUUAAAUUUAUUUCAGCAAAUCAAAUUGAGUCGUUUUCAUUACGUGAUGUAAACAAAGUAAACCCGCUAACAAAAUGGACAUAAUUUGUUCGGCGACUUCAAAGAAAAUUUCGGCGACAUCAAAGGAAAAUGACGAUAUCCACUAUGACCGUCACAUACACUCCGUAUUAUUAUAUAAGACUAGUCGAUAAAGCCCGUGGAAAAACCCACUUAGACAGGAUAACAGUAAAAAAUAACCGUUAUUUAAAUUUUGAUAACGUCAGCAAGGACCUGUCAAGAGACAAAAUAUUUUCUCCUGGAAAUUUGUUUACUUGUUGCCUCUAUUGUGUAUAGCUUGAAUAGUUGAUUAAAUAUUGUAUAGAAUCAUUUUUGCAAAACCGAACAAAUAUGCAAAAAAAUUAUUUUAAGGAAUUUGUAUACCUGUUGCCUCCAUCACAUAGAUCUUGAAACGCCGAUCAAGAAAAUGUAUAGGAUGAAGGUUUUUCGAUGAAGUCGUCAACCCGUCUAUUCCGAAACGGAUUCUGGGACCCAGGUUUGGGAAAAUGACCGAAAUUGGUCCUAGGUGGUCCCUAGUUACCCACGCGGUAAAAAAUCAUUGACGUCACCACCUCGUUUCCAAGUUAUUUGGCCUCAAAGUUUCAGGUGCAGUGUAAUGGCUUCGCUUAUGUUAAUAUACUUUCCUUUGACGUUAAUAUUAUUUACUGUUAAAGUUUGGUAAAUUACAGAACCAUUUUAUUGGGGAUGUUUUACAGACUUUAUAAAAGAAAGUAGUGAAGAUAACAAUCCACUUUGCAAAAGUGACAGACAGACAGAACUGGCGUAUUAUUAUAUAGAUAAUCGAUAAGCCCGUCGAAAAAUCAACUUAGGCAGAGGUAAAAUGGAAAGAGCGGUUAGCAGUGUCCCGUUCAUAUACAUAAAAAUUAUUCUUAGAAUUAUGUUAACCCGUAGCAUCUAUUGUGAAUAACUUAAAACACUGAUCAAAAUAAUACAUACUAGUUGUAGAGGCCCGUGGAAAAAUCCACUCAGGUAAAAGAACAAUGAAAUAUUAGAAGAUUUUAGGAAUUUUGAUGACGUCAGCAGUGUCCCGUUUAUCUACAUAAAAAUUUUUUUUAGAAAAUAUGUAUAGGAUCAUGCGUUUUUGAUAGUUGGAAAGACCCGUGGAAAAAUCCACUUGAACUCUAUAGUUAUGAACCAUACCACAAAUACUAAAAAAGCAGUAAAAAUAAGGAUAACUUACAAAAAAGAAAACUUGGGAUUUUGUUUUCUGUAAACCUAAAAAAUGAUAAUAAAUUAUGAUGAUAAUACUUUCCUAUUUUUGUUUUCUGUAAAAAAAUAAUUCAAUGGUUAUAUAUAGACUGUAUAAUAUUGAAAUAAUGGUAGGUAAGUCCUCUCCCCUUUUUCUCUUUCCAACCACAAAUGUUUCAAGUUUGUUUUCAGGCGCUGCGUUUAGAAAGUUUGUAAGUAAACAAGAAAUUUCUAUUGGUAGAUGUCCGACCAGUAGUGUUACUUCAUCGGUUGAUUUAAAAACGCCAAUAGCAUUUGAUGUGACACCUGUUUGGACGGAUAUGGUGUCAAACACAACAGUAGAUGUUGUUGGGAAAAAAAACUGUUAGUAUGAAGACAACCGGACACGAAAAAUGUCGUGUAACCAUUGGACUGGCUGCGAAAGUCGAUGGAACAAAACUGAAGCCCUUCAUUGUAUUCAAGGGAGGAAAACGUGAUGUUGAAAAAAUGAAGAAAGAGUAUGGAAAUAGGUGCAUAAUAGCUUCAUCGACAAACGGAUGGAUGAAUACCGAUCUAACAGUUAGUUGGACAAAUACUGUUCUCGGACAGUUUAACUUUAAACGCAGAUUGUUAGCUUGGGAUACAUGUGAGUGUCAUUUAAUGCCAGUUUUCGGAGCAUCUCUUAAAGCUAGAAAGAUUGACACCGUUUUGGUCCCUUGAGGUUGCACUAAAUAUAUUGAGGCGCCGGAUGUUAGUUGGAACAAGCCGUUUAAAGCAUAUUGCACAGAGAAAUGCGAUGAAUGGCUUGAAACCGUCGGAAUUCAUCAAGUAACCGAUGGCGGGAAUUUGAAACCUCCGCCUUCCAGCACAAUUGGAAACUGGAUUCUUGAUUCCUGGAAGGAGCUGCCAGCUGAAUUAAUACGUAAAUCGUUAAAAGCGUGUGCCUUAACAUCGGUUACUGAUGGGAUCGAGGAUAAAGAGAUCCAUUGUUUCAAAGAGCAUCAACCCUGUCAGGCUGGUCUUGCAAUGCUCAAUGAACAAAUACAACUGGUAAACGAGACGGAAGACAACCCAUUUAUCCCAGAUGCCGAGGAAAUGACUGAUGCGGCUCCCUUAGAGACGAUCGUAGACAAGGACGAAGAAGGCGAUAGUGAUAUUGAGAUCGAUUAGUGUUUAUUUUUAUUAUACUUUUAGAAAGAUAUGUUGUGUUUAUUAAAAUCGUUGUUUUAAUUUUUUAGCACACUAGAUUUUUGCACAAUUUUAUAAGCCCCCCUCCCAUUUAUUACACCCCCCAGCUACUUUCCCAAAUAAGCCCCCUCCCCAAAACCCAUUUUGACAAAUAAGUCUCCGGAGGCUUAAUCGAUCAUACUGAAAUGCUCCUUUAAACUUGACGAAAUCAGAGGAAAUUACGAUCAAUAACAUAUUGAAAAGUUGAAAAGCCCCCUUUAAGCUGGGUGUUCUUAUAAAAAAAUAUAAAGGUGGUUAAAAACAGGGGUUUGUCCUUCAGGAGGGUAAAGGUCCCCAACAUGAUGCCAUAUUUGACCAUACGAAAGCAUGGUGGAACGCGGACAGGUGGGGGGAGAAGGUUUGCUCUAAAAGAAACCAAUGCAACAGCGCUAUUAUACCUACUUAUAUUUUCGUAAAAGCUUUUUGCCUGAACAGUAUCUGUAUUUGUUAAUAAUUCCCUAAGCUGCUGAGGGCAAAAAGACAAAUUAUCUAAUGCAACUUUACCAGCGUGACAACAUUUAAAACAAUUUUUAUUUUCAAACUUUGAAGCUUGACAAUACUCUUUGUCCAUAACACCUAAAAAUAUAAAUUAGGCAAUACAUUUUGACGUGCAAUAUAAUACGGCGCAUUUCGGCGAGCACAAACAGCAGCAUGCCUGGCGUAUAUGUACUACCUGUUCAACAUUUUGCCUUUGUCGAACAACAGCUUGCCUCUCAGCAUUUAGACGUCGUCUAUUGGCAGUCUGCUCACCAUUUUCUACUUGACAUGCAACAGCAUGUCGUACAGCAUCCUGUGCACGUCUAUUGGCAUACUGCUCAUUACUUUCAGCAAUACGCACAGAUGUGACACCUUGUGCAAGUCUACGCCUAACUAUAGACACAUCAUCAAUAAUUGAUGCACGUGGUAUGACAUUAACCUGAACUUCAUGUGACAGUUUAACAUGUUGCGGAGUAUCUGGCAUCUGCUGGCCCAUAAUGAGACCUACUUACCUUUGACUAUUUUCAGGGCGUUGCAACACAAACCCGCCAGCAUUAUUAAAAAGCCUAUAACCACGUACAGGGUUGUUACUGUUACUGCAUUCUAAUGGGUUAGACAUGAUAGAGAAAAAUACACAACCUAGCUAGCUAGCUAGCUAGUAGGAACACUGUCCGAGCACUGUCCUACUAAUAUCUCGCUCGUUACGUCUUUUUCUAUUAGCAAAGAAAAAUAAAGAAAAAAUGCUAAGCUAACUGCAAAUGUAGGUGAAUCUAAAGAAUAGGUUACUUACUAACAACUGAUUUUUUAAAACUCUCUUUUCUAGCUAAUAGAAGUCUAUAUCUACCACACGAUCUCAGCAAAUCCACUUAACUUCGACUUAAAAUUUCAAUUUUAAAUUUCAACUUCAACUUAAAAUUUACUUAACCAAAAAAAGAAAAUGUUACAACAAAUAAAAUAAAUGGUUUUUCCGAUAUUUGUAUAUAGCAAGCAACCUACUUCGUUCGUUCGUCUCCUGAACUUGAAAUAACUUUUUACGUAUGUUUUGAUGGUCAGGGAAAACUUGGAAUUUUCAGCAAAUAUAAUUGUUUUAUUUUGAUCACGUGGUUUGGUUUAUCCAUUUAAAUUUUUUAUUAUGAUCCCGUAAUUUUAAAACGUAAACACACAAAACUCGUGGCUUUUCUCGACAAGACAUAUUUUUUUCGACAACAUCAAAGAUUUUUUUGGCGACAUCAAAGAAAAAUAAGCAUAUCAACUUUGCUUGUUACAGAGACACGGAACUGACCUAUUAUCAUAUAGAUAAACAUGUACUUUUAACGAACAGUUGAGAAGAUAUAUACGUUUAAAAACUUUGCUGACGUCCUGUCAAGGACCUGUCAAAUUACAAAAAAAUUUUUUUAGAAAUUUAUAUGCCUUGUUGCCUCUACUGUCUAGAACUUGAAACUGGUCAAGAAAAUGUAUAGGAUCCUGUGUUUUUGACGAACCUUUGAAGAGAUGUGGCGAUUUAAGGAUUUUUACUGACGUUAUUAACCAAUACUAUUAUGUUGCUGUGUGGUUUUUCAAUAGCAUACAUGCCUUCAUUGUUUCUACAAAAAAACAUUUAUUCAAAUAAAUCAUAGCGUUUUAAUUAACUAAAAACAGAGAAACAAAAACAAGAACUGUUAUAACGUUUUAAAAUAAACGUUAUGAUUACGGACACCAAAACAGCACUGUAAGAACGCAAUAUGGUGCAAGGUAUGACAAAAAGUAUCUCGUUUUUGGAGAAAACGACCCGGAAGUGGAACCAGAGAACAACUUUUUAGCACUUCAACUGAGACUACUGCAAACUGGAC